Non-coding RNA from Culex pipiens (northern house mosquito), 73 nucleotides. The record is from Rfam. Lineage: Eukaryota; Metazoa; Arthropoda; Insecta; Diptera; Culicidae.
GCGGCCGUGGCUGACUGGCUACGGUGUUCGCUUUGUAAGCGAAUGAUUCUGGGUUCGAUGCCCAUCUGCUCCC